GACGAACGCUGGCGGCGUGCCUAAUACAUGCAAGUAGAACGCUGAAGGAGGAGCUUGCUUCUCUGGAUGAGUUGCGAACGGGUGAGUAACGCGUAGGUAACCUGCCUGGUAGCGGGGGAUAACUAUUGGAAACGAUAGCUAAUACCGCAUAACAGUAGAUAUCGCAUGAUAUCUACUUGAAAGGUGCAAUUGCAUCACUACCAGAUGGACCUGCGUUGUAUUAGCUAGUUGGUGAGGUAACGGCUCACCAAGGCGACGAUACAUAGCCGACCUGAGAGGGUGAUCGGCCACACUGGGACUGAGACACGGCCCAGACUCCUACGGGAGGCAGCAGUAGGGAAUCUUCGGCAAUGGACGGAAGUCUGACCGAGCAACGCCGCGUGAGUGAAGAAGGUUUUCGGAUCGUAAAGCUCUGUUGUAAGAGAAGAACGAGUGUGAGAGUGGAAAGUUCACGCUGUGACGGUAUCUUACCAGAAAGGGACGGCUAACUACGUG
Molecule: ribosomal RNA, 495 nt
Filed under: uncultured bacterium
Lineage: Bacteria
Description: partial 16S ribosomal RNA
Rfam family: Bacterial small subunit ribosomal RNA
Source: RNAcentral